GUCCCUUUGGGGACGUCUGAUAAAAUUAGAACAAUACAGAGAAGAUUAACAUGGUUCCAUCACAAGGAUGAUACGCACAAAUCAAGAAAUGAUCCAAAAAUUU
Lycium ferocissimum is the source of this 103-nucleotide small nuclear RNA. The record is from RefSeq and is a predicted model, not a curated record. NCBI's taxonomy places the organism in Eukaryota, Viridiplantae, Streptophyta, Magnoliopsida, Solanales, Solanaceae.